This 468-nucleotide ribosomal RNA is filed under the name uncultured bacterium. RNAcentral describes it as "partial 16S ribosomal RNA". It matches the Rfam family "Bacterial small subunit ribosomal RNA", at positions 28 to 507 of the family's 1533-position model. The record is from RNAcentral.
GACGAACGCUGGCGGCGUGCUUAACACAUGCAAGUCGAACGGAAAGGCCCUGCUUUUGUUGGGUGCUCGAGUGGCGAACGGGUGAGUAACACGUGAGUAACCUGCCCUUGACUUUGGGAUAACUUCAGGAAACUGGGGCUAAUACCGGAUAUGAUCUCCUGCUGCAUGGUGGGGGUUGGAAAGUUUCGGCGUUUGGGGAUGGACUCGCGGCUUAUCAGCUUGUUGGUGGGGUAGUGGCUUACCAAGGCUUUGACGGGUAGCCGGCCUGAGAGGGUUACCGGCCACAAUGGGACUGAGAGACGGCCCAGACUCGUACGGGAGGCAGCAGUGGGGAAUAUUGCACAAUGGGCGGAAGCCUGAUGCAGCAACGCCGGGUGCGGGAUGACGGCCUUCGGGUUGUAAACCGCUUUCGCCUGUGACGAAGCGGGAGUGACGGUAAUGGGUAAAGAAGCAACGGCUAACUACGUG